ACUAAAUCAGAGGACUUCCAGUAUGUCAGGAUCUUUCAGUAAGAGAGGACCCACAAAGCUAUUCUAAAGGAGUGAAUUUUUUGUGAUGAAGAUGAUGAUGAUGAGGAUGAAUAUGAUCCCUUUAAGUGUUCUACCAGCUCAAGAAGAGGCAGCAGAUGACUUGUGAAUCUGUUAUAUUGUACUGACAUUUACAUUCUGGAUCAAUUUUCUUGUUCAGCAGUUAAUUCAGUUUCAAUGUUGUUAUAGCAAUGUUUAACCAGUUUUGUUUAAAAAUAAAGUACCAAUCAUUUGUAUGUUGAUGAAACGCUGUACUGGAUGUGAAUACUUUUUUUUUGUGACCUACAUACAGCGCUAUGUUGUUUUAGAAAUCUCAUUCAAUCUGAAUCGAUCUUUUUUUUAAAAAAAGUCCAUUAUUUGAAAGCUUCAACACGAUGCCUCUAAAACAGUCUCUCCAGCUACCCUGCAAUUUUGUUUUAAUUAAUUGGAUAACCUUUUGAUUUUUAAAAAAUCUUGUCAGUUUCCUGUGGAUCUGCAAUGAUUAUGUGAAUAUAAAUUACUGAUGCAAUUAAAGCAAAAUUGCAAUAAGAUUUAUGUGAUGAAGGCCUGCUUCUUACUCUCUUUCAUUAACUUUACAUACGUAUAUAUUAAUAGCUGCUCGUUUGGAAAAAUACAUGCAUCAAUAAUUUUGUUUUGAAAUAAAGACUUUGUUAAGUUUGCAUCAUUUUAGUGCAAAACGUAUUUGCUCAACCUGAUUUUUCAGGUAAGAAAUAAUUGGUUUAAAGAAAAUACACUAUUAAAAUGUGACCAAUGUUAACAAUUAAUCUGUUGAAAAUUGGCUUUUGAGUUAUUGAAUACACUAUAAAUUGUUGUGUCGAAGGCUGUUAAUGUUCAGAUUAUAUUUUUGAUCAAAAGAAAUUAACUUCAUGUAGAAAAAACACA
This is a long non-coding RNA of Pristis pectinata (smalltooth sawfish), 939 nucleotides long. RefSeq lists it as uncharacterized. The transcript has 3 exons. The record is from RefSeq and is a predicted model, not a curated record. NCBI's taxonomy places the organism in Eukaryota, Metazoa, Chordata, Chondrichthyes, Rhinopristiformes, Pristidae.